This 503-nucleotide ribosomal RNA is filed under the name uncultured bacterium. RNAcentral's name for it is "partial 16S ribosomal RNA". It matches the Rfam family "Bacterial small subunit ribosomal RNA", at positions 29 to 507 of the family's 1533-position model. The record is from RNAcentral.
AACGAACGCUGGCGGCGUGCCUAACACAUGCAAGUCGAACGAGAAAGGGGCUUCGGCUCCGAGUAAAGUGGCGCACGGGUGAGUAACACGUGGGUAACCUGCCCCUAAGAUUGGGAUAACUCGUCGAAAGAUGAGCUAAUACCGAAUAAGACCACAGUUCCCGCGGGAACAGGGGUCAAAGGUAGCCUCUGCUUGCAAGCUAUCACUUAGAGAUGGGCCUGCGCACCAUUAGCUAGUUGGUAGGGUAACGGCCUACCAAGGCAAAGAUGGUUAGCUGGUCUGAGAGGAUGAUCAGCCACACUGGAACUGAGACACGGUCCAGACUCCUACGGGAGGCAGCAGUGGGGAAUAUUGCGCAAUGGGCGAAAGCUUGACGCAGCAACGCCGCGUGAGUGAUGAAGGCCUUCGGGUCGUAAAGCUCUGUCGGGAGGAACGAAUGCUCCUGAGGUUAACAGCCUCGGGAGGUGACGGUACCUUCAAAGGAAGCACCGGCUAACUCUGUG